UACGUAGGUGGCAAGCGUUGUCCGGAAUUAUUGGGCGUAAAGCGCGCGCAGGCGGUCCUUUAAGUCUGAUGUGAAAGCCCACGGCUCAACCGUGGAGGGUCAUUGGAAACUGGGGGACUUGAGUGCAGAAGAGGAGAGUGGAAUUCCACGUGUAGCGGUGAAAUGCGUAGAUAUCGGGAGGAACACCAGUGGCGAAGGCGACUUCCUGGCCUGUUCUUGACGCUGAGGCGCGAAAGCGUGGGGAGCGAACAGG
This 253-nucleotide ribosomal RNA is filed under the name uncultured bacterium. Its description in RNAcentral is "partial 16S ribosomal RNA". It matches the Rfam family "Bacterial small subunit ribosomal RNA", at positions 524 to 776 of the family's 1533-position model. The record is from RNAcentral.